AUGGCCGCGUGCACGUCUCAGCAUGCGCUCAUCUCCGUCAAACCUCCGCGCGCUUCCGCCAGCUUCGGCUCCGACAGGAGGGCCGGCAAUGUGCGCUUUGUUUCAGCAACGAGUUGCUGCCCCGGCAGCCGGAAACUGGGCUUGGUCUGCGCAUCGAAUUCGCAAUCUUCAGUGAUUGAACCGGCUAAGCUACCGUCGAGCCCCGAAAGUGGCAGCACCCCCAAAAAAUCAAGUGAGGCUGCACUGAUAUUGAUUCGGCACGGGGAAUCGUUGUGGAACGAGAAAAAUCUGUUUACUGGCUGCGUCGAUGUGCCCCUGACCCCCAAGGGCGUCAAUGAGGCGAUCGAGGCGGGUAAAAGGAUAUGCAAUAUCCCAGUUGAUGUUAUAUACACCUCAUCACUAAUCCGUGCUCAGAUGACCGCUAUGCUUGCCAUGAUGCAGCAUCGUCGUAAGAAGGUUCCAAUUAUUGUGCACAAGGAGAGCGAACGGGCACACCAGUGGAGUCAGGUAUACAGCGAGGAGACAAAGAAGCAGUCCAUUCCUGUAAUAACAGCUUGGCAGUUGAAUGAACGAAUGUAUGGUGAACUGCAAGGCCUUAACAAGCAAGAAACGGCUGAUCUGUUUGGCAAAGAUCAAGUUCAUGAAUGGCGUCGUAGUUAUGACAUUCCUCCCCCAAAUGGAGAGAGCCUAGAGAUGUGUGCAGAGAGAGCAGUUUCUUAUUUCAAAGAGCAAAUUAUACCCCAGCUUGUGUCUGGAAAGCAUGUUAUGAUUGCUGCCCAUGGGAAUUCACUCCGUUCAAUUAUAAUGCAUCUGGACAAGUUGACUUCUCAAGAGGUAAUAAGCCUUGAGUUGUCGACUGGCAUUCCUAUGCUGUAUAUAUUUAAGGAAGGGAAAUUUAUCAGGCGGGGUAGUCCCGCAGGACCUUCUGAGGCAGGCGUUUAUGCUUAUACAAAGAGUUUGGCCAAGUACAGACAGAAGCUUGACGGCAUGGAUCAGUAA
This 999-nucleotide ribosomal RNA is filed under the name Triticum aestivum (bread wheat). RNAcentral's name for it is "partial small subunit ribosomal RNA". Lineage: Eukaryota; Viridiplantae; Streptophyta; Magnoliopsida; Poales; Poaceae. The record is from RNAcentral.